AGUGCAGAAGAGGAAAAGUGGGAAUUUCCAAUGUGUAGCGGGUGAAAAUGCGUAGAAGAUUAUGGAGGAAACACCCAGUGGCGAAAGGCGACUUUUCUGGUCUGCAACUGACACUGAGGCGCGAAAAGCGUGGGGAGCAAAACAGGAUUAGAUACCCUGGUAGUCCACGCCCGUAAACGAUGAGUGCUAAAGUGUUAGAGGGUUUCCGCCCUUUUAGUGCUGAAGUUAACGCAAUUAAGCACUCCGCCUGGGGAGUAACGGCCGCAAGGCUGAAACUCAAAGGAAUUGACGGGGGCCCGCACAAGCGGUGGAGCAUGUGGUUUAAUUCGAAGCAACGCGAAGAACCUUACCAGGUCUUGACAUCCUCUGACAACCCUAGAGAUAGGGCUUCCCCUUCGGGGGCAGAGUGACAGGUGGUGCAUGGUUGUCGUCAGCUCGUGUCGUGAGAUGUUGGGUUAAGUCCCGCAACGAGCGCAACCCUUGAUCUUAGUUGCCAUCAUUAAGUUGGGCACUCUAAGGUGACUGCCGGUGACAAACCGGAGGAAGGUGGGGAUGACGUCAAAUCAUCAUGCCCCUUAUGACCUGGGCUACACACGUGCUACAAUGGACGGUACAAAGAGUCGCAAGACCGCGAGGUGGAGCUAAUCUCAUAAAACCGUUCUCAGUUCGGAUUGUAGGCUGCAACUCGCCUACAUGAAGCUGGAAUCGCUAGUAAUCGCGGAUCAGCA
RNAcentral lists this ribosomal RNA (728 nucleotides) under Bacillus sp. (in: firmicutes). RNAcentral's name for it is "bacterial SSU rRNA". It matches the Rfam family "Bacterial small subunit ribosomal RNA", at positions 642 to 1354 of the family's 1533-position model. The record is from RNAcentral. Lineage: Bacteria; Bacillati; Bacillota; Bacilli; Caryophanales; Bacillaceae.